Molecule: ribosomal RNA, 305 nt
Filed under: uncultured bacterium
Lineage: Bacteria
Description: bacterial SSU rRNA
Rfam family: Bacterial small subunit ribosomal RNA
Source: RNAcentral
UCCUACGGGAGGCAGCAGUGAGGAAUAUUGGUCAAUGGCCGCAGGGCUGAACCAGCCAAGUCGCGUGAGGGAUGACGGUCCUAUGGAUUGUAAACCUCUUUUGUCAGGGAGCAAAGGGCGCCACGUGUGGCGUUUUGCGAGUACCUGAAGAAAAAGCAUCGGCUAACUCCGUGCCAGCAGCCGCGGUAAUACGGAGGAUGCGAGCGUUAUCCGGAUUUAUUGGGUUUAAAGGGUGCGCAGGCGGAAUGUCAAGUCAGCGGUAAACUUUCGGGCCUCAACCCCUUCGUGCCGUUGAAACCGUCGUU